RNAcentral lists this unclassified non-coding RNA (4632 nucleotides) under Leishmania donovani. RNAcentral describes it as "gene:LdHU3.31.0820(CDS-product:hypothetical_prote in_conserved)". Lineage: Eukaryota; Euglenozoa; Kinetoplastea; Trypanosomatida; Trypanosomatidae. The record is from RNAcentral.
CGAGGCACCCCUUUACUCUACAUAGAUACAUAGAGAAGCCGCAACGCCACCCAUACAGUUCACUUAACAGCCCUGUCGGAGCGUACAAUAGACUGGCAAUUCGUGCAGGCCGAAGAGCUGCAGCAGAACUCAGUAAGGCACCGUCAAACUGUGUUUCCUCCGCUUCCCUCUCGUCUUCUCAUUGGUUGCUCUCCUCUUGCAUUCUUGCGACAUCGGCAGCGCAUAUGCAGACGGCGCCACCGACGCAGCAGCGGCGCACCUUUUCGCGCGCAAACGGCGCCGAUGGAACAGCCGUUCCACGCUUGGUGGCGGCUGAGGAACGCCACCGCAAGAACCUGCAUCAAAUCCAGCAAUUGAAGCAGGCGCUGUGCUCUACCGUCAGUGCGGCUGCUGCGCCAUGCAUGUCUGCGCUGUCGUCGCGAGGUUGGUCACUACCCUCGUCUACUCUCUCAGUGCCACCGCCUUCCAACCCUUCCUGGAUGGCGCCCUUCCUCGAGAGCCCCAGCGGGGUUGUGGCCUCGCUGUCUCAGACAAACGGGGCAACGGUGCCGGUGUCACGCCAGUCGACGUGGACCCCCGUAUCAGCGGCCGCAUUGCGCGAGAGCCAUCAGGAGGUGGAACGACUCGUGCAGGAGCGCAACAAGCUGCAGCAACAGUGUGUAGAGUGGGCUAGUCUUCUUGGCGAGGCGUCCCAUCGCGCUGCAGAGAGCGCUGGCACGAACGCGCCACUUGUGUCUCACUCUGGUGUCGAAGCUGAUGCCUGGUCCCCGGUGCACCAGGCGGCGCUCGCAGUUGUGAGGCAGGCAACGCGCUGUUACCCUAGCGCAUUACGCGAAGCGCGGAUCAAGUCGGAUGUAGGAGCGACAGAGGACACCAGCACACCACAGUGUGCCGGAUCCUCAGCGUUGAUUGCGCCACAUGAGGGUGAGCUGAGCGAGCCGUUCCUGCACGGCAAUAGCAGUCCACCGCUCACAACAGAGGAGCUGGCGAACGCGCUCCAUCGCCUGGCUGAGUUUCUGCCCAGCCUAGCUUCCACGAUGACUGCCAGCGAACUUGUUGCUGCCUCAGAGCCAGACCUGUUGCACCGCAUCCGCACUCUCGAGGAGGAGAGGCGAAGCGACUGCCUCGUUGUGUUAUCCAUCACAGACCAUCUCACUCAAGUCGCCACACAGCUGCGACGAGAGGCUGCGGAGAAAGACGAGGCGCUACAUGCAUUGCAGGAGACGGUGGAGGCGCUGAUGGAGGAGAAGUCGCAGUGGGCACGGCGCGCUCGGGAGAGUGAGGAGGCGCUAGCGGAGAGGUAUGAGCAGUACAGCCAAAGAGAGAAGGCCUGGGAGAGAGAAGUGGCAGGGCUGCUGCAAUCAAAACAUAAUGCGGAAGCUGCCUCUGCAGCACCAAUGGCUCUCCCCGCCUCAAUCACAGUAGCCCUGGCAGACGGCAGCGGUGCUGCCUCGGCGACAGCGACGGCGACGGAGAUGGGGGAGGGGCACAUCACACAGCUACAGCAGGAGCUUGACGCCAAGGAGGCUACCCUUGCGACUUGGGAGGAGGAGCAUCGUGCCCUACAGGCUACGCACGCAGAGCUGCAAACUCACAGCCAACAAGCGGAGGCGGCCCACCAAAAGCGCAUUGCAGAGCUGGAAAGUCAGUUGAACCCGCUGGAAGAGGAGCUGCAGACCCAGGCUUGCAUUAUCGGAUCGACGCUGCGCAAGGUUGAGGACUUGUCGGUGGCACAUCAGGCCGAGACAGCCGCCUUGACAGAGUCUCAUAACGCGUUUCUAGCAGGGAAGGAGGUGACACUUCUCAGCUUGCAAGAGGCCAAGGAGAGGAUUGAGGUGGAGCUGGCAGAGCGCACCGCGGACGCGGCGCAGAUGAGGGCGGAGCUAGAGGCCGCUCUUGGUAAGCUUGCAGCAGCCCAAAGUGCUUCAGACCGACCGGGUUCAUCUUCGUUGGUGCAUGACGGCGUCUCAGUGGGGAACUUGUCUGUGGUGGAGUCGACGGACCUACUACGGCCCACAGGGCCCAGUGAAGGCGACGGCGCCGACGCGUCACUUCAGAUGGAUGGGGCUAGCACCCCCGGCAAAUGCGAGAGGGCGAAGAAUGACGAUGCAGAAGAUGCUGCAGAGUCGCCGACGAAGCUCGUGGACGUGCGAAAAUUGCAGCAGUCGCUGAACCGGAUGAGUCGAGAGCGCACGGCCCUCAAGCGCAAGCUGGAGCAUCGUGCUGGUGCCCUUUCAGAGAUGGAGAGCGAGUUGGAGGCGGCGCUGCGGCUGGCGGCGCAGCGAGGCGCACAAGUGCAGGCACUCACCGCUGAGCUGGAGAGAUCAAAAGCCACUGACACCUCGGCACCAGCAGACGCGAAAGCAGCAGAUGAGGACGACACCGGUGAGGAGGAGGCCGACGCGGAGACGUCGCUCCAGUUGAUGGACUUUUCGGAGCUGGAGCGAUACGAAGAUGAAGGGACACUAUACCCCGAUCUGGUAGACUUGUCCGGGUGGCUGCUGGGACACGCUGAAGGCUCCUCGGUGCGGUUCUCCACCUACGUGCAGCACCACCUCAGCGAAAACGAGCAGCUGCGCAUCGCAGCAGUCGGCCCUCUGUACCACAUCGGCUUUACCCUCCUUAAGGUGGAGGGGCUCGUGAAGCAGGAGGAUGACUCGUUGUGUCUCCCCAUGCCGUGGCGCCGGUUCCUGCUCCAACUGCAACAAGUGUUGGACGCACAGCUGCAGGCCACAGUGCUGAGCCCCGCCGAUUCGGCGAAGUGCUUCUAUGCACUGGCGAGUAGUGCGGGCUUGCUCGGCAACCUUGCUAGUCCUCCUCGAGACCCGCUGACUGGGUACUCGCUAAUUAUCGCUGCUUUGUGCGUGUGUCUGCGUUCUCCAUCACCGUCUACUUCGACCGAUAGCUCCUGCAAGUGGCACUGCUGUCAAGCAAUACUGCACCACGUAUCUCGCUACGGGGACGGCAAGACGGCGAGUCAAACGGGACGCAGCAUUGCUGAUGCCGACUCGCAGGCGCCGGACAGUCUGUUUCUCGCCUUGUGCGCUGAGUUCCCAGCAGCGACCGCAUUACCCGAGGAGGAUGCAGGAGACGAGGGUGCGACUGCAGGCGGCGGGACAGCGUCCGUGCCCCUGCCGUGCUCGAUUCGCCUCGCCGCACUCCUCACGAGCGACCUUCUGAGUGACUACCUCCCCAUAUCGCACUUGGCGUUGUGCGCUGCGGCCCUCUCUGACAUUGUCGACAGCAAAGUCGCACCUAUCGAGGGCCAGCUUCCCGCAAGCUCACAGACGGAAGCCACGAAGAUCUUUGCGGCGGCGCGGCCGCGUUUGAGCUUCGCACAGAAGCGUGACGUCGCCCCGCUUCUGCUGUACGUGGCUCGCCACGAAUACCUUUUGUUUGACUGGGCUCACGAGAUGGCCGACGCGGCUGCCGAAGCUGAAGGUGGCUCACCCAGCGAAGAUGGACAUAGUACGGAUACUGCCUCCCUUACGUUAUCCUCACUUGGUGUCUCCGUGACAUGGCCGGCGUCGGCAACUGUGCAGAAGGUACCAUCUCGCUCAGCUGCAGUCUCUGCCCGUGCGACACCACCUGCCGAGGUGGAAUCGAUCACGCAACUGCUCAUCUUCCUGUGCACUGGGCUCUUGCCGACUCUCGUGCUUGCCAUUUACCGCUGCCCUUCACUGGAACAGGAGUCGCAGCUUAUCGAUGCCUUCUUUCGCACGCGCCGUUUGCUCAUGGCGAAACGGACCGCACUUCUCGCGAAGAACUCUACAGAGGCAUGUGCCGCCUCGGGGGUGAUACCGGGAGUUACGCUGCUGCUACCCGAGACCCGACUGCGCAAUCUUGUAAACGCUGCACUGGCACCCAUCAAGCACACCGCGCCCUUUCCAGAGCGAGCGGUGCAGGUGCCGGUGGCGGAGUACGAGCGACUGCACCACGAGCUUCUGUCCCUGUACGAAACAAACGACACGUAUCACCGAUACAUUCAAGAACUGCUGAGCGCGGCGGAGGCGGCAUAGGUGUUGCUGUGAGAGUGUGUGUGCGUGCAAGUUGGAGUGAGUUGCGUGCUCGCUUGCAUUGUGAGCAGCAGCUGCUGCUGCUGCUGGUAGAGGCGUAGGGGGAGGGGCUCAUCCAACGGAGCCCAGCGCACGCACUCUACUGUUGCUCAGCCUUGCUGUGUGACGUUUCGACCCCGCCGCUCUAACGUGAGCCGCAAAAGUCACCCGGACAGCAGUCCUUUGCUGUCAGCUGUGACACCCCGGUGGAAGAGGUUGGAGCAUUCACGAACUGGUAUGGAGGUGCUGUUGCCGUUGAACCUGCCGUCUCUAACCCCCUCGGCCAUCCUCUCAUCGUUAUCAACGCAGCUUGUCGUCGACUUUGUUGCUCACCAGGACAGUUCCUGCGGGUGCGAAUCCGGCGGCUAUGUCUGUGCGGUGCAGCGCAGAGUAUUGACCUUUAUUUUGUAAUUGCUCUCUGUCCAUUUUCUGUACUCAGGUAUGACUCAUUAGAGCUUAUGUGUGCAUGCUGUGUGUUGGGAAUACUAUCUGCAGCCCCCCCCCCUUCCUACCUCCCUCUCUCCCUCUGUCUCUUCUCUCUCGCGCUGCAUAUGCUCGUUGCUUUUACACUUCUUAG